RNAcentral lists this unclassified non-coding RNA (210 nucleotides) under uncultured Cantharellales. Its description in RNAcentral is "sequence contains ITS2". Lineage: Eukaryota; Fungi; Basidiomycota; Agaricomycetes; Cantharellales. The record is from RNAcentral.
AACUCUCAAACAAGAUUGAUUUGUUUCUAUCUCUGUUUGGAUUUUGGACUCUGCUGUGCCAAUGCAGCUGGUCUUAAAUUUAUUAGCUAGUCCUAAUGAAGGUUUGGUUCUACUCGGCAUGAUAAUUAUCUGAUGUUGAGGACAGUCUCAGGGCCGGCCAAGCUCUCUCUGGAUUGCUUCUAAUCGUCUUUUUGGGACAAUUUAUUCAAU